RNAcentral lists this ribosomal RNA (156 nucleotides) under Gigaspora margarita. Its description in RNAcentral is "5.8S ribosomal RNA". It matches the Rfam family "5.8S ribosomal RNA". From Rfam's summary of the family: 5.8S ribosomal RNA (5.8S rRNA) is a component of the large subunit of the eukaryotic ribosome. It is transcribed by RNA polymerase I as part of the 45S precursor that also contains 18S and 28S rRNA. Functionally, it is thought that 5.8S rRNA may be involved in ribosome translocation. The record is from RNAcentral. Lineage: Eukaryota; Fungi; Glomeromycota; Glomeromycetes; Diversisporales; Gigasporaceae.
ACUUUCAACAAUGGAUCUCUUGGCUCUCGCAUCGAUGAAGAACGCAGCAAAAUGCGAUAAGUAAUAUGAAUUGCAGAAUUCCGUGAAUCAUCAAAUCUUUGAACGCAAAUUGCACUUCUUGGUAUUCCGAGGAGUACACAUGCUUGAGGGUCAGUU